UGAUAUUGAUACCUUCAACAUGACAGCC
RNAcentral lists this small RNA (28 nucleotides) under Bombyx mori (domestic silkworm). Its description in RNAcentral is "ovarian small RNA-32567". Lineage: Eukaryota; Metazoa; Arthropoda; Insecta; Lepidoptera; Bombycidae. The record is from RNAcentral.